RNAcentral lists this unclassified non-coding RNA (336 nucleotides) under soil metagenome. Its description in RNAcentral is "partial contains 5.8S ribosomal RNA, internal transcribed spacer 2, and large subunit ribosomal RNA". The stretch from base 1 to 120 matches the Rfam family "5.8S ribosomal RNA", at positions 35 to 154 of the family's 154-position model. The record is from RNAcentral.
GAUGAAGAAUGCAGCGAAAUGCGAUAAGUAAUGUGAAUUGCAGAAUUCAGUGAAUCAUCGAAUCUUUGAACGCACAUUGCGCCCGCCAGUAUUCUGGCGGGCAUGCCUGUUCGAGCGUCAUUUCAACCAUCAAGCCCCAGGCUUGUGUUGGGGACCUGCGGCUGCCGCAGGCCCUGAAAACCAGUGGCGGGCUCGCUGUCACACCGGGCGUAGUAGAUUUUAUCUCGCUCAGGGCGUGCUGCGGGUCCCGGCCGUUAAAAGCCUUUUUUUACCCAAGGUUGACCUCGGAUCAGGUAGGAAGACCCGCUGAACUUAAGCAUAUCAAUAAGCGGAGGA